This 514-nucleotide ribosomal RNA is filed under the name uncultured bacterium. Its description in RNAcentral is "bacterial SSU rRNA". It matches the Rfam family "Bacterial small subunit ribosomal RNA", at positions 15 to 518 of the family's 1533-position model. The record is from RNAcentral.
GAUCCUGGCUCAGGAUGAACGCUAGCUACAGGCUUAACACAUGCAAGUCGAGGGGCAGCAUGGAGUUGCUUGCAAACUCUGAUGGCGACCGGCGCACGGGUGAGUAACGCGUAUCCAACCUUCCCUAUAGUAGAGGAUAGCCCGGCGAAAGUCGGAUUAAUACUCUAUGUUUUCCGUUGCAGACAUCUAAGAUGGAACAAAGGCUUGCCGCUAUAGGAUGGGGAUGCGUCUGAUUAGGUAGUCGGCGGGGUAACGGCCCACCGAGCCAUCGAUCAGUAGGGGUUCUGAGAGGAAGGUCCCCCACAUUGGAACUGAGACACGGUCCAAACUCCUACGGGAGGCAGCAGUGAGGAAUAUUGGUCAAUGGGCGAGAGCCUGAACCAGCCAAGUAGCGUGCCAGGAUGACGGCCCUAUGGGUUGUAAACUGCUUUUAUGCGGGGAUAAAGUUCACUACGUGUAGUGUUUUGUAGGUACCGCAUGAAUAAGGACCGGCUAAUUCCGUGCCAGCCGCUGC